UUAACGUAAAAUUUUGUGAAAACAACUUACCUGCAUCAAUGCCACCAAUAUUGAAUGAAAAAUUUGAAAGGUAUCCAUGUAAAGCUGUUUCCCAUAUUUCAAAAUUGGUAAUUGAGUUCAAUUUUAAGAAAAAUAUAAGUGUAAGUACUGCCUGAUGCUGUAUUAUUACAUUAGAAUGGGAUAAGGAUGGCAUAAUUGCUUGCUUCAAAAUUACUCCAGAUACUCAUAUCCACUGACUGUAUUAUCUGCAAUAAGAUUGAUUAAUACGAACAUUUAAGAAACAUUUAAUAUGGUUAAUAUGAACAUUCAUUAAUGUCAAUAUUUAAAAUAAGGAAUAAACUAAACUGUUUACCUCUCUUACAAAUUUUAUUGCUGUAAUCCAUUUCAAUGAAACCCUUGGUUCAAUAUAUGGUUCCAGAAGAGUCGGUCUAAGCUCUGAAGUACUGUAUUUAUCACAUGAUUACGUUUUAUAUGUGAAGUACCAAGCAUAUAAUCAUGAAAAACAAUACCAUACCGAUGCGACGUUAACAAUAAAAUUAAAAAAUCAUGUAUAAUUCCUGUAACUACCUAAAUCAAAAUAUAUUUUAUAAUUAUUAGUAUAUAUACAUACAA
This is a long non-coding RNA of Bombus pyrosoma, 612 nucleotides long. RefSeq lists it as uncharacterized. The record is from RefSeq and is a predicted model, not a curated record. The transcript is spliced from 4 exons. Lineage: Eukaryota; Metazoa; Arthropoda; Insecta; Hymenoptera; Apidae.